Molecule: ribosomal RNA, 491 nt
Filed under: uncultured bacterium
Lineage: Bacteria
Description: partial 16S ribosomal RNA
Rfam family: Bacterial small subunit ribosomal RNA
Source: RNAcentral
AGUGAACGCUGGCGGUAGGCCUAACACAUGCAAGUCGAACGGCAGCACAGUAAGAGCUUGCUCUUACGGGUGGCGAGUGGCGGACGGGUGAGGAAUACAUCGGAAUCUACUUUUUCGUGGGGAUAACGUAGGGAAACUUACGCUAAUACCGCAUACGACCUACGGGUGAAAGCAGGGGAUCUUCGGACCUUGCGCGAUUGAAUGAGCCGAUGUCGGAUUAGCUAGUUGGCGGGGUAAAGGCCCACCAAGGCGACGAUCCGUAGCUGGUCUGAGAGGAUGAUCAGCCACACUGGAACUGAGACACGGUCCAGACUCCUACGGGAGGCAGCAGUGGGGAAUAUUGGACAAUGGGCACAAGCCUGAUCCAGCCAUACCGCGUGGGUGAAGAAGGCCUUCGGGUUGUAAAGCCCUUUUGUUGGGAAAGAAAAGCAGCAGGUUAAUACCCCGCUGUUCUGACGGUACCCAAAGAAUAAGCACCGGCUAACUUCGUG